CGGCCCCCCCCCAACUCCCACCCCGGCUGGGGGCGUGUGGCUGGGAGCCCCCGGGAGCCCCCUGACUGCAGGUGAGCCUAAAAAAAGAUGUUACCUCCCUCUGCAAACCUUGCCUCCGUUGUUCUCAUCAGAGAAGAUAAGAAGGAAAGGAGAAGAAAAGUCUCGGCCCUCGCUGCCCCCAGAUCCAGAGGGAAGCACCGUGAUCCCACCACAGGAACUCUGGAGCAGCCAUGGAUGGGGGACCUGUCACCUGCCAGGAGCAAGAGGAGGUUGCUCGUGAUGUGAGAACAUGGAGACACCAAGUACUGUUGUGGAGGACUCACAUCUUGGGUGGAGACUGCAAAGUGCCCUCUCUGAAAGGAGCUGGAAAACAAGAAAUGUGCUCAGAAGCCCCUGAAGACCACA
This is a long non-coding RNA of Calypte anna (Anna's hummingbird), 405 nucleotides long. RefSeq lists it as uncharacterized. Lineage: Eukaryota; Metazoa; Chordata; Aves; Apodiformes; Trochilidae. The transcript has 4 exons. The record is from RefSeq and is a predicted model, not a curated record.